Molecule: ribosomal RNA, 630 nt
Filed under: uncultured Planctomycetota bacterium
Lineage: Bacteria; Pseudomonadati; Planctomycetota
Description: bacterial SSU rRNA
Rfam family: Bacterial small subunit ribosomal RNA
Source: RNAcentral
UGCAAGUCGAACGAAUCCCUUGUAGCAAUACGAGGGGGGAGUGGCGAAAGGGGCAGUAAUGCAUGGCUAACCUACCCCGGGGACGGGGAUAGCCUUCCUAACGGAAGGGUAAUACCCGGCGAUGUGGUGAGGGGGCAUCUCCUUGUCAUGAAAUGAGUUUCGCCUCGGGAGGGGGUCAUGUGCUAUUAGCUUGUUGGCGGGGUAACGGCCCACCAAGGCGAAGAUGGCUAGCGGGUGUGAGAGCACGACCCGCGCCACUGGCACUGAGACACUGGCCAGACUCCUACGGGAGGCUGCAGUCGAGGAUCUUCGGCAAUGGGCGCAAGCCUGACCGAGCGACGCCGCGUGCGCGAUGAAGGCCUUCGGGUUGUAAAGCGCUGUCGAGGGGGAGGAAAGCCGAAAGGUCUGACCUAUCCCUGGAGGAAGCACGGGCUAAGUUCGUGCCAGCAGCCGCGGUAAGACGAACCGUGCGAACGUUGUUCGGAUUCACUGGGCUUAAAGGGCGCGUAGGCGGCUUGCCAAGUCAGGGGUGAAAUCUUUCGGCUCAACCGGAAAACAGCUUCUGAUACUGGCAGGCUGGAGGGAGGUAGGGGCAGAUGGAACUUCCGGUGGAGCGGUGAAAUGCGUAGA